Small nuclear RNA from Gorilla gorilla gorilla (western lowland gorilla), 141 nucleotides. Its record names the gene U4. It matches the Rfam family "U4 spliceosomal RNA". From Rfam's summary of the family: U4 small nuclear RNA (U4 snRNA) is a component of the major U2-dependent spliceosome. Lineage: Eukaryota; Metazoa; Chordata; Mammalia; Primates; Hominidae. The record is from Ensembl.
ACCUUUGCACAGUGGAAGUAUGGUAGCUGAUGAGGUUUAUCUGAGGUGUAAGUAUUGCUAAUUCAAAACUUUUCCCAAUAACCGGCCAUGAUGACUUGAAAUAUGGCCGACAUUGGCAAUUUUCGACAGUCUCUACAGAGA